GAUGAAGAACGUAGCGAAAUGCGAUAAGUGGUGUGAAUUGCAGAAUUCAGUGAAUCAUCGAAUCUUUGAACGCACAUUGCGCCCCUUGGUAUUCCAUGGGGCAUGCCUGUUCGAGCGUCAUUUGUACCUUCAAGCUUUGCUUGGUGUUGGGUGUUUGUCUCGCCUUUGCGUGUAGACUCGCCUUAAAAUAAUUGGCAGCCGGCGUAUUGAUUUCGGAGCGCAGUACAUCUCGCGCUUUGCACUCAUAACGACAGCGUCCAAAAGUACAUUUUACACUCUUGACCUCGGAUCAGGUAGGGAUACCCGCUGAACUUAAGCAUAUCAAUAAGCGGAGGA
This 336-nucleotide unclassified non-coding RNA is filed under the name soil metagenome. RNAcentral's name for it is "partial contains 5.8S ribosomal RNA, internal transcribed spacer 2, and large subunit ribosomal RNA". The stretch from base 1 to 120 matches the Rfam family "5.8S ribosomal RNA", at positions 35 to 154 of the family's 154-position model. The record is from RNAcentral.